GUGCUCCUCGCUCGUUUUAUUUUGGAAUCAAAAGUUAAAGAUAAGACGAGCAAGUAGUGGGU
RNAcentral lists this microRNA precursor (62 nucleotides) under Petromyzon marinus (sea lamprey). RNAcentral's name for it is "Pma-Mir-208-P3a1-v1_pre stem-loop". The record is from RNAcentral. Lineage: Eukaryota; Metazoa; Chordata; Hyperoartia; Petromyzontiformes; Petromyzontidae.